This 468-nucleotide ribosomal RNA is filed under the name uncultured bacterium. Its description in RNAcentral is "partial 16S ribosomal RNA". It matches the Rfam family "Bacterial small subunit ribosomal RNA", at positions 28 to 507 of the family's 1533-position model. The record is from RNAcentral.
GACGAACGCUGGCGGCGUGCUUAACACAUGCAAGUCGAACGGAAAGGCCCUGCUUUUGUGGGGUUCUCGAUUGGCGAACGGGGGAGUAACACGUGAGUAACAUGCCCUUGUCUUUGUGAUAACUCCAGGAAACUCGGUCUAAUACCGGGGAGGAUCUCCUGCUGCACGUUGGGGGUAGGAAAGUGUCGGCGGUGGUGGAUGGACUCGCGGCUUAUCAGCUUGUUGGGGGGGUAGGGGCUUACCAAGGCUUUGACGGGUAGGCGGCCUGAGAGGGUGACCGGCGACCUUGGGACUGCGAUACGGACCAGAAGCGUACGGGAGGCAGUGGUGGAGAAUAUUGCAGAAUGGCGGGGCGUCUGAUGUGGAGACGCUGCGUGCGGAAUGCUCUGUUUCGGGUUAUAAACAGAUUUCGAAUGAGCCGAAGAGAGCGUGACGGUACCGGGUCAAGAAGCCACGGCUAACUACGUG